This 377-nucleotide ribosomal RNA is filed under the name uncultured eukaryote. RNAcentral describes it as "partial 18S ribosomal RNA". It matches the Rfam family "Eukaryotic small subunit ribosomal RNA", at positions 592 to 976 of the family's 1831-position model. The record is from RNAcentral.
CAAUAGCGUAUAUUUAAGUUGCUGCAGUUAAAAAGCUCGUAGUUGGAUUUCGGGUGGGAAUGGCCGGUCCGCCGUUUCGGUGUGCACUUGCUACGCCCACCUUGCUGCCGCGGACGUGCUCUUGAGUUCACGCUCGGGACACGGAGUCGGCGAGGUUACUUUGAGUAAAUUAGAGUGUUCAAAGCAGGCCUACGCUCUGAAUACAUUAGCAUGGAAUAACACGAUAGGACUCUGGCCUAUCUUGUUGGUCUGUAGGACCGGAGUAAUGAUUAAGAGGGACAGUCGGGGGCAUUCGUAUUUCAUUGUCAGAGGUGAAAUUCUUGGAUUUAUGAAAGACGAACUACUGCGAAAGCAUUUGCCAAGGAUGUUUUCAUUAA